GAUGAACGCUGGCGGCGUGCCUAAUACAUGCAAGUCGAGCGAACGGACGAGGAGCUUGCUCCUCUGACGUUAGCGGCGGACGGGGGAGUAACACGUGGAUAACCUACCUAUAAGACUGGGAUAACUUCGGGAAACCGGAGCUAAUACCGGAUAAUAUAUUGAACCGCAUGGUUCAAUAGUGAAAGACGGUUUUGCUGUCACUUAUAGAUGGAUCCGCGCCGCAUUAGCUAGUUGGUAAGGUAACGGCUUACCAAGGCAACGAUGCGUAGCCGACCUGAGAGGGUGAUCGGCCACACUGGAACUGAGACACGGUCCAGACUCCUACGGGAGGCAGCAGUAGGGAAUCUUCCGCAAUGGGCGAAAGCUUGACGGAGCAACGCCGCGUGAGUGAUGAAGGUCUUCGGAUCGUAAAACUCUGUUAUUAGGGAAGAACAAAUGUGUAAGUAACUAUGCACGUCUUGACGGUACCUAAUCAGAAAGCCACGGCUAACUACGUG
Molecule: ribosomal RNA, 497 nt
Filed under: uncultured bacterium
Lineage: Bacteria
Description: partial 16S ribosomal RNA
Rfam family: Bacterial small subunit ribosomal RNA
Source: RNAcentral